GAACGCGAAGAACCUUACCCGGGCUUGAAUUGCAGAGGAAGGAUUUAGAGAUAAUGACGCCCUUCGGGGCCUCUGUGAAGGUGCUGCAUGGUUGUCGUCAGCUCGUGCCGUGAGGUGUCGGCUUAAGUGCCAUAACGAGCGCAACCCCUCUCUUCAGUUGCCAUCAGGUCAUGCUGGGCACUCUGGAGACACUGCCACCGUAAGGUGUGAGGAAGGUGGGGAUGACGUCAAAUCAGCACGGCCCUUACGUCCGGGGCUACACACGUGUUACAAUGGCCGGUACAGAGGGACGGUGUAAUGCAAAUUGCAUCAAAUCUUGAAAGCCGGUCCCAGUUCGGACUGGGGUCUGCAACCCGACCCCACGAAGCUGGAUUCGCUAGUAAUCGCGCAUCAGCCAUGGCGCGGUGAAUACGUUCCCGGGUCUUGUACACACC
Molecule: ribosomal RNA, 434 nt
Filed under: uncultured bacterium
Lineage: Bacteria
Description: bacterial SSU rRNA
Rfam family: Bacterial small subunit ribosomal RNA
Source: RNAcentral